This 414-nucleotide ribosomal RNA is filed under the name uncultured microorganism. RNAcentral's name for it is "bacterial SSU rRNA". It matches the Rfam family "Archaeal small subunit ribosomal RNA", at positions 330 to 745 of the family's 1478-position model. The record is from RNAcentral.
GUGCAGCAGGCGAGAAACCUCCGCAAUGCGGGAAACCGUGACGGGGUCACCCCGAGUGCCACCCGAUGAGGGUGGCUUUUCCCCGGUCUAAAAAGCCGGGGGCAAUAAGCGGGGGGCAAGUCUGGUGUCAGCCGCCGCGGUAAUACCAGCCCCGCGAGUGGUCGGGACGUUUAUUGGGCCUAAAGCGUCCGUAGCCGGCUCGGUAAGUCCCUCCUUAAAUCCACGGGCUCAACCCGUGGGCUGGGAGGGAUACUGCCGGGCUAGGGGGCGGGAGAGGCCGAGGGUACUCCCGGGGUAGGGGCGAAAUCCGUUAAUCCCGGGAGGACCACCAGUGGCGAAGGCGCUCGGCUGGAACGCGCCCGACGGUGAGGGACGAAAGCUGGGGGAGCAAAGGGGAUUAGAUACCCCCGUAGU